RNAcentral lists this long non-coding RNA (375 nucleotides) under Lathyrus oleraceus (garden pea). RNAcentral describes it as "Pisum sativum (pea) long non-coding RNA (PSAT_LNC024116)". The record is from RNAcentral. Lineage: Eukaryota; Viridiplantae; Streptophyta; Magnoliopsida; Fabales; Fabaceae.
UCAAACCCAUUGAGCAUAAUGAUCGGACGUCAUCUCCCAAUUUUGAAUUCCCUGUAUUCGAAGCAGACGAAGAUGAUGUUGAAGGGAUUCCUGAUGGUAUUUCCCGACUUCUUGAGCAAGAAAAGAAGAUCACUCAGCUGCAUCUCGAGAAUCAGCAGAACAGCCAACUGGGGCAUUAUCAAAAAAAAAAAGAGAAAGAAAAAAAAAAAUAAAAAAAAUAGGAGGGUGCAAAAUCCAAGAAAAAAAAAUCAUCAAAAGAAAUCAAAAGAAAUCCAAAUCAAAAGAGAGAAAAAGAAAGAAAGAAACAAAAGAAAGAUAGUACCCUCAAAGUCCCAAGUUGACUAAUGCUGAAUUCGACGGAAAGAAGGAAGAGAU